AUUGAACGCUGGCGGCAGGCUUAACACAUGCAAGUCGAGCGGGGGAAGGUAGCUUGCUACCGGACCUAGCGGCGGACGGGUGAGUAAUGCUUAGGAAUCUGCCUAUUAGUGGGGGACAACAUCUCGAAAGGGAUGCUAAUACCGCAUACGUCCUACGGGAGAAAGCAGGGGAUCUUCGGACCUUGCGCUAAUAGAUGAGCCUAAGUCGGAUUAGCUAGUUGGUGGGGUAAAGGCCUACCAAGGCGACGAUCUGUAGCGGGUCUGAGAGGAUGAUCCGCCACACUGGGACUGAGACACGGCCCAGACUCCUACGGGAGGCAGCAGUGGGGAAUAUUGGACAAUGGGGGGAACCCUGAUCCAGCCAUGCCGCGUGUGUGAAGAAGGCCUUAUGGUUGUAAAGCACUUUAAGCGAGGAGGAGGCUACUUUAGUUAAUACCUAGAGAUAGUGGACGUUACUCGCAGAAUAAGCACCGGCUAACUCUGUGCCAGCAGCCGCGGUAAUACAGAGGGUGCGAGCGUUAAUCGGAUUUACUGGGCGUAAAGCGUGCGUAGGCGGUUAUUAAGUCGGAUGUGAAAUCCCCGAGCUUAACUUG
This 593-nucleotide ribosomal RNA is filed under the name Acinetobacter baumannii OIFC137. Its description in RNAcentral is "bacterial SSU rRNA". It matches the Rfam family "Bacterial small subunit ribosomal RNA", at positions 28 to 616 of the family's 1533-position model. The record is from RNAcentral. Lineage: Bacteria; Pseudomonadati; Pseudomonadota; Gammaproteobacteria; Moraxellales; Moraxellaceae.